ACAUGCAGUCGUACAAGGUAGCCGCAGGGCACUAGUGGCGCACGGGUGCGUAACGCGUAACCAACCUACCCGAAACUGGGGCAUAGCCCGCCGAAAGGCGGAUUAAUACCGCAUACNCCAACNGCCCGGCAUCGGGUAAUUGGUAAAGAUUUAUUGGUUUCGGAUGGGGUUGCGUGCCAUUAGCUAGUUGGCGGGGUAAAGGCCCACCAAGGCGACGAUGGCUAGGGGAGCUGAGAGGCUGAUCCCCCACACUGGCACUGAGAUACGGGCCAGACUCCUACGGGAGGCAGCAGUAGGGAAUAUUGGGCAAUGGCCGCGAGGCUGACCCAGCCAUGCCGCGUGCCGGAUGAAGGCCUUCUGGGUUGUAAACGGCUUUUCUCAGGGAAGAAAAAGCUCCUGCGGGAGACACUGACGGUACCUGAGGAAUAAGCACCGGCUAACUCCGUGCCAGCAGCCGCGGUAAUACGGAGGGUGCGAGCGUUGUCCGGAUUUAUUGGGUUUAAAGGGUGCGUAGGCGGCCUGUUAAGUCCGGGGUGAAAGCCCACAGCUCAACUGUGGAACUGCCCUGGAUACUGGCGGGCUUGAGUCCAGACGAGGUUGG
Molecule: ribosomal RNA, 601 nt
Filed under: unidentified microorganism
Description: bacterial SSU rRNA
Rfam family: Bacterial small subunit ribosomal RNA
Source: RNAcentral